GAGGCCAAGCCUCAUCAAGACAUAAAUUGACUUCAUAUAGUACGAGUCAAUUUAAUAACCCCUUUAGUUAUUGGAA
This 76-nucleotide small RNA is filed under the name Prochlorococcus marinus str. NATL2A. RNAcentral describes it as "Cyanobacterial functional RNA 13". It matches the Rfam family "Cyanobacterial functional RNA 13". The record is from Rfam by way of RNAcentral. Lineage: Bacteria; Bacillati; Cyanobacteriota; Cyanophyceae; Synechococcales; Prochlorococcaceae.